AUUGAACGCUGGCGGCAUGCUUUACACAUGCAAGUCGAACGGUAACAGGCCUUCGGGUGCUGACGAGUGGCGCACGGGUGAGUAAUGCAUCGGAACGUGCCCAGAGGUGGGGGAUAACGCAGCGAAAGCUGUGCUAAUACCGCAUGUGAUCUGAGGAUGAAAGCGGGGGACCAGGCAGCAAUGUUUGGCCUCGCGCCUUUGGAGCGGCCGAUGUCAGGUUAGGUAGUUGGUGGGGUAAAGGCCUACCAAGCCGACGAUCUGUAGCUGGUCUGAGAGGACGACCAGCCACACUGGGACUGAGACACGGACCAGACUCCUACGGGAGGCAGCAGUGGGGAAUUUUGGACAAUGGGCGCAAGCCUGAUCCAGCAAUGACGCGUGCGGGAAGAAGGCCUUCGGGUUGUAAACCGCUUUUGUACGGAACGAAAAGGCUCUGGCUAAUACCUGGGGCUGAUGACGGUACCGUAAGAAUAAGCACCGGCUAACUACGUG
Molecule: ribosomal RNA, 492 nt
Filed under: uncultured bacterium
Lineage: Bacteria
Description: partial 16S ribosomal RNA
Rfam family: Bacterial small subunit ribosomal RNA
Source: RNAcentral